UACGGAGGGUGCAAGCGUUAUCCGGAUUUAUUGGGUUUAAAGGGUCCGUAGGCGGGCUAAUAAGUCAGUGGUGAAAUCUCAUAGCUCAACUAUGAAACUGCCAUUGAUACUGUUAGUCUUGAGUAUAUUUGAGGUAGCUGGAAUAAGUAGUGUAGCGGUGAAAUGCAUAGAUAUUACUUAGAACACCAAUUGCGAAGGCAGGUUACCAAGUUAUAACUGACGCUGAUGGACGAAAGCGUGGGGAUCAAACAGG
This 253-nucleotide ribosomal RNA is filed under the name uncultured bacterium. Its description in RNAcentral is "partial 16S ribosomal RNA". It matches the Rfam family "Bacterial small subunit ribosomal RNA", at positions 524 to 776 of the family's 1533-position model. The record is from RNAcentral.